GGCCACGCUGCUGAUCGUCCUGCUGCUGAUGGUGUGCGGACUGAGCUCACAGAUGUACCCCUGACCAAUGACAGGCCCGCUGGCAUCAUGGAAAGGAAAAAAGAGCAAGAUCCAGGGCUGGGCAUCUUGACUAGGGUUAAAACAAAUACUGCUUCACCGGCAGCGUCUGCUCUUGAUUGCCAUUCUUACCACGGUCUGCCCAGAUUUUAACCUUGGCCUGUAUUCGAAGGUUGGUAUUUUGUGUGGCAUCUUUUUUUAUCAAAAUUCA
RNA transcript from Talpa occidentalis (Iberian mole), 268 nucleotides. RefSeq lists it as uncharacterized. The transcript has 3 exons. The record is from RefSeq and is a predicted model, not a curated record. NCBI's taxonomy places the organism in Eukaryota, Metazoa, Chordata, Mammalia, Eulipotyphla, Talpidae.